This 336-nucleotide ribosomal RNA is filed under the name Caecitellus sp. RNAcentral's name for it is "partial small subunit ribosomal RNA". It matches the Rfam family "Eukaryotic small subunit ribosomal RNA", at positions 587 to 975 of the family's 1831-position model. The record is from RNAcentral. Lineage: Eukaryota; Bigyra; Bicosoecida.
AGCUCCAAUAGCGUAUAUUAAAGUUGUUGCAGUUAAAAAGCUCGUAGUUGAAUUUCGGACCCUCGUUCCCGUCUCUUGAUUGAGGCGAUGCGGGUGUCCUCCUCGCCUUUGGCGUCAUUUACUGUGAAAAAAUUAGAGUGUUCAAAGCAGGCAAUCGCUUGAAUACAUUAGCAUGGAAUAAUAAGAUAGGAUCUUCGUCUAUUUUGUUGGUUGCGGACAAAGAUAAUGAUUAAUAGGGAUAGUUGGGGGUGUCUGUAUUGUGUUGUCAGAGGUGAAAUUCUUAGAUUUACACAAGACAAACUACUGCGAAAGCAUUCACCAAGGAUGUUUUCAUUA